RNAcentral lists this ribosomal RNA (611 nucleotides) under Aquimarina sp. AU415A_Ted2_MB20. RNAcentral's name for it is "bacterial SSU rRNA". It matches the Rfam family "Bacterial small subunit ribosomal RNA", at positions 61 to 666 of the family's 1533-position model. Lineage: Bacteria; Pseudomonadati; Bacteroidota; Flavobacteriia; Flavobacteriales; Flavobacteriaceae. The record is from RNAcentral.
GUCGAGGGGUAACAUAGUUGCUUGCAACUGAUGACGACCGGCGCACGGGUGCGUAACGCGUAUAGUACCUACCUUAUAGUAAGGGAUAGCCCAGAGAAAUUUGGAUUAAUACCUUAUAGUAUCUUAAGUGAGCCUUCACUAAGGAUUAAAGAUUUAUCGCUAUAAGAUGGCUAUGCGUUCUAUUAGCUAGUUGGUAUGGUAACGGCAUACCAAGGCUACGAUAGAUAGGGGUCCUGAGAGGGAGAUCCCCCACACUGGUACUGAGACACGGACCAGACUCCUACGGGAGGCAGCAGUGAGGAAUAUUGGACAAUGGAGGCAACUCUGAUCCAGCCAUGCCGCGUGUAGGAAGACUGCCCUAUGGGUUGUAAACUACUUUUAUAGAGGAAGAAACCAUUUCACGUUGUGAAAUGCUGACGGUACUCUACGAAUAAGGAUCGGCUAACUCCGUGCCAGCAGCCGCGGUAAUACGGAGGAUCCAAGCGUUAUCCGGAAUCAUUGGGUUUAAAGGGUCCGUAGGCGGUUUAGUAAGUCAGUGGUGAAAGUUUUCGGCUCAACCGGAAAAUUGCCAUUGAUACUGCAAGACUUGAAUUAUUGUGAAGUGGUUAGAA